This 1286-nucleotide ribosomal RNA is filed under the name Ascosphaera aggregata. RNAcentral describes it as "eukaryotic LSU rRNA". It matches the Rfam family "Eukaryotic large subunit ribosomal RNA", at positions 90 to 1394 of the family's 3401-position model. Lineage: Eukaryota; Fungi; Ascomycota; Eurotiomycetes; Onygenales; Ascosphaeraceae. The record is from RNAcentral.
CGAGUGAAGCGGCAAAAGCUCAAAUUUGAAAUCUGGCCUCUUUGGGGUCCGAGUUGUAAUUUGGAGAGGAUGCUCUGGGAGUGGUCGCGGUCUAAGUCCCCUGGAACGGGGCGUCGCAGAGGGUGAGAAUCCCGUCUUCGGCCGGCCGACUUCGCCCGUGUAGAGCUCCUUCGACGAGUCGAGUUGUUUGGGAAUGCAGCUCUAAAUGGGUGGUAAAUUUCAUCUAAAGCUAAAUACUGGUCGGAGACCGAUAGCGCACAAGUAGAGUGAUCGAAAGAUGAAAAGCACUUUGAAAAGAGAGUUAAAAAGCAUGUGAAAUUGUUGAAAGGGAAGCACAUGCGACCAGAGUCGGCCGUGGGGGUUCGGCGGGGGUUCUCCCUCGUUUACUCCCCUGCGGUCGGGCCAGCAUCAGUUCUGGCGGCCGGUUAAAGGCUUCGGGAAUGUGUCGUCCUCCGGGACGUCUUAUAGCCCGAGGUGCAAUGCGGCCAGCCGGGACUGAGGAACGCGCUUCGGCACGGAUGCUGGCUUAAUGGUCGUUUGUGGCCCGUCUUGAAACACGGACCAAGGAGUCUAACAUCCACGCGAGUGUUAGGGUGUCAAACCCUUCCGCGCAGUGAAAGCGAACGGAGGUGAGAGCCCCUCGAGGGUGCAUCAUCGACCGAUCCUGAAGUCUUCGGAUGGAUUUGAGUAGGAGCGUGGCUGUUGGGACCCGAAAGAUGGUGAACUAUGCCUGAAUAGGGUGAAGCCAGAGGAAACUCUGGUGGAGGCUCGCAGCGGUUCUGACGUGCAAAUCGAUCGUCAAAUUUGGGUAUAGGGGCGAAAGACUAAUCGAACCAUCUGGUAGCUGGUUCCUGCCGAAGUUUCCCUCAGGAUAGCAGUAACGUUUUCAGUUUUAUGAGGUAAAGCGAAUGAUUAGAGGCCUUGGGGUUGAAACAACCUUAACCUAUUCUCAAACUUUAAAUAUGUAAGAAGUCCUUGUUGCUUAAUUGAACGUGGACAAUUGAAUGUAUCGUUACUAGUGGGCCAUUUUUGGUAAGCAGAACUGGCGAUGCGGGAUGAACCGAACGCGAGGUUAAGGUGCCGGAAUGCACGCUCAUCAGACACCACAAAAGGUGUUAGUUCAUCUAGACAGCCCGACGGUGGCCAUGGAAGUCGGAAUCCGCUAAGGAGUGUGUAACAACUCACGGGCCGAAUGAACUAGCCCUGAAAAUGGAUGGCGCUUAAGCGUGCUACCAAUACCUCGCCGUCAGGGUAGAAACGAUGCCCUGACGAGUAGGCAGGCGUGG